AUUAUAAGGCUGGCAUUUCUAAACAAGAGAAAAAUGUUUAAAACAUUUUUACAUAAAGAUUUUAAGAAGAACCGAAUACUAAAUACCUUGAGUGAUUCACGAACUGUAGAUCUAUCCAACGAAAUUGUGGAAGAGCUGUCCGAUUCUCCUAGACUGCUUACUGAGCAACCAUUAGUAAAUGUUGCCUGACUGCUAGAACAUGGAACCCCUAGUGUAAAAAAUUAAAUAAUACAGCAGCUUUUAUAUGUGGAAA
Molecule: long non-coding RNA, 253 nt
Organism: Daphnia pulex (common water flea)
Lineage: Eukaryota; Metazoa; Arthropoda; Branchiopoda; Diplostraca; Daphniidae
Exons: 2
Source: RefSeq, a predicted model, not a curated record